This 520-nucleotide ribosomal RNA is filed under the name uncultured Glomus. RNAcentral's name for it is "SSU rRNA". It matches the Rfam family "Eukaryotic small subunit ribosomal RNA", at positions 569 to 1091 of the family's 1831-position model. Lineage: Eukaryota; Fungi; Glomeromycota; Glomeromycetes; Glomerales; Glomeraceae. The record is from RNAcentral.
AGCAGCCGCGGUAAUUCCAGCUCCAAUAGCGUAUAUUAAAGUUGUUGCAGUUAAAAAGCUCGUAGUUGAAUUUCGGGGUUAGUAGGUUGGUCGUGCCAAUGGUAUGCACUGGCCUCACUGAUUCCUCCUUCUUGAUGAACCUUAAUGCCAUUAAUUUGGUGUUUUGGGGAAUCUGGACUGUUACUUUGAAAAAAUUAGAGUGUUUAAAGCAAGCUAACGCUUGAAUACAUUAGCAUGGAAUAAUGAAAUAGGACGUUUGAUCCUAUUUUGUUGGUUUCUAGGAUCGACGUAAUGAUUAAUAGGGAUAGUUGGGGGCAUUAGUAUUCAAUUGUCAGAGGUGAAAUUCUUGGAUUUAUUGAAGACUAACUACUGCGAAAGCAUUUGCCAAGGAUGUUUUCAUUAAUCAAGAACGAAAGUUAGGGGAUCGAAGACGAUCAGAUACCGUCGUAGUCUUAACCAUAAACUAUGCCGACUAGGGAUCGGAUGAUGUUAAUUUUUAAUGACUCAUUCGGCGCCUUAC